Molecule: long non-coding RNA, 876 nt
Organism: Cyprinus carpio (common carp)
Lineage: Eukaryota; Metazoa; Chordata; Actinopteri; Cypriniformes; Cyprinidae
Source: Ensembl
CCCCACUCUAAUCAUGUUAGAUCAUUGCACCUUCUGCUGCGGUAAGUAAUUUUUUAAAGAAAAUUAUAUCAGCAUUUCAUAAUUGCUAAGCUUUAACGUAUCCAUACUAUGUGAUGGUGGUAGAUCAGUUUUUUAAUUUGUUUUCUUUCUAGAUUGUUGACCUCUUUCACUGCCUCCUCCUUCCACACUGCCAAGUGUGGCCAUCAGCACCUUCAUUUGAGGUGCCAUUGAUGCUUUGGCUCUCUAUUCAAGUCAUUGCAUCCUGUGCUAUUGUUGUCGUCUUCCACUGUCUCCUCCCCAUCGCCAAGUGUGGCCAUCAGCACCAUUUCAAGGAGAUAUUGAUGCUUUGGCUCUCUAUAUGCAAAUUCAGAUCUGCUUCUAACCCUUACGCAACUACGCCUAGCUUGCUUAGCAUCUUUGGAAAAAAGGCCAGAACCCACGAUUUUUGAUCUACGAUCAUCUAUGAUUUUGGAAACUUGAUACACUAUUAAUACUUGAUACACUAUUUAUACUUGAUACCACAAAGAUUUACACCCAAUCUUACAACCUGAAAAAAAUCAAUCUCAAACCACUGAAAAAAAAAAAAAAAAAAAAAAAACUGGUAAGAAAACUGAGCUGCAUCUUCAGAAAGAGUAGGUAAAUUGACCUCUUCACUGUUUUCACUGUCUGUAUAUUCUUCAAGGACCACUGAUUUGACGACUACAUCAACUUUGACAUAACGAUAAGAUAUAUUACAUUUUAUAUAUCAGUAAAUAUAUUCAAUAAUCAGUAAUUAUUAAAUACAAUAUUCUUACAUUUACUACAUUUACUUCCCAGUGUUGAAAAGUCAAAAUGCCAAGAAAAGGAAAGAGGAGUGAAUCACAGAAACAGCGCAGA